UGAGUGGCGGACGGGUGAGUAACGCGUGGGUAACCUGCCUCGUACAGGGGGAUAACAGUUAGAAAUGACUGCUAAUACCGCAUAAGCGCACAGUGCUGCAUGGCACAGUGUGAAAAACUCCGGUGGUAUGAGAUGGACCCGCGUCUGAUUAGCUAGUUGGUGGGGUAACGGCCUACCAAGGCGACGAUCAGUAGCCGGCCUGAGAGGGUGAACGGUCACAUUGGGACUGAGACACGGCCCAAACUCCUACGGGAGGCAGCAGUGGGGAAUAUUGCACAAUGGGGGAAACCCUGAUGCAGCGACGCCGCGUGAGCGAAGAAGUAUUUCGGUAUGUAAAGCUCUAUCAGCAGGGAAGAAAAUGACGGUACCUGACUAAGAAGCACCGGCUAAAUACGUGCCAGCAGCCGCGGUAAUACGUAUGGUGCAAGCGUUAUCCGGAUUUACUGGGUGUAAAGGGAGCGUAGACGGUUGUGUAAGUCUGAUGUGAAAGCCCGGGGCUCAACCCCGGGACUGCAUUGGAAACUAUGUAACUAGAGUGUCGGAGAGGUAAGCGGAAUUCCUA
RNAcentral lists this ribosomal RNA (562 nucleotides) under uncultured bacterium. RNAcentral describes it as "bacterial SSU rRNA". It matches the Rfam family "Bacterial small subunit ribosomal RNA", at positions 92 to 672 of the family's 1533-position model. The record is from RNAcentral.